AAUAGAUGACGCCAUUGAUUUUUUCUCAUAUGUUUAACCAUUCGUCUUAUUUAAAAAAUUUACGUAAUUAUAAUUUAUUUUCUUAUGAGUUGUUUUAUCACUCAUAGUAAUUUAAGUGUGAUUUAUAUAUUAUACAUUUGCAUAAAAUUUUUUAAUAAGACGAAUGGUCAAACAUGUGAGAAAAAGUCAACGGCGUCAUCUAUU
Molecule: microRNA precursor, 204 nt
Filed under: Oryza nivara
Lineage: Eukaryota; Viridiplantae; Streptophyta; Magnoliopsida; Poales; Poaceae
Description: MIR812 microRNA precursor family
Rfam family: MIR812 microRNA precursor family
Source: Rfam by way of RNAcentral